This 459-nucleotide ribosomal RNA is filed under the name uncultured bacterium. Its description in RNAcentral is "partial 16S ribosomal RNA". It matches the Rfam family "Bacterial small subunit ribosomal RNA", at positions 338 to 795 of the family's 1533-position model. The record is from RNAcentral.
CCUACGGGAGGCAGCAGUGAGGAAUAUUGGUCAAUGGGCGGGAGCCUGAACCAGCCAAGCCGCGUGAGGGAAGAAGGUACAGCGUAUCGUAAACCUCUUUUGGCAGGGAACAAAGGCGGGGACUAGUCCCCGGAUGAGGGUACCUGAAGAAAAAGCAUCGGCUAAAUCCGUGCCAGCAGCCGCGGUAAUACGGAGGAUGCGAGCGUUAUCCGGAUUGAUUGGGUUUAAAGGGUGCGCAGGCGGCCUGUUAUGUCAGCGGUAAAAGCCCGGGGCUCAACCCCGGCGAGCCGUUGAAACUGGCGGGCUGGAGUUGGAGAGAGGUACGCGGAAUGCGCGGUGUAGCGGUGAAAUGCUUAGAUAUCGCGCAGAACCCCGAUUGCGAGGGCAGCGUACCGGCUCCACACUGACGCUGAGGCACGAAAGCGUGGGUAUCGAACAGGAUUAGAUACCCCAGUAGUC